Molecule: ribosomal RNA, 238 nt
Filed under: Gigaspora decipiens
Lineage: Eukaryota; Fungi; Glomeromycota; Glomeromycetes; Diversisporales; Gigasporaceae
Description: partial 25S ribosomal RNA
Rfam family: Eukaryotic large subunit ribosomal RNA
Source: RNAcentral
UAUUGUUUGGGAAUGCAGCUCUAAAUGGGUGGUAAAUUUCACCUAAUGCUAAAUAUAAGCGAGAGACCGAUAGCGAACAAGUACAGUGAUGGAAAGAUGAAAAGAACUUUGAAAAGAGAGUUAAAUAGUACGUGAAAUUGUUGAAAGGGAAACGAUUGAAGUCAGUCAUGCCGACGGGAAUCAACUUAGAGGAAACUCUGGGUGCACUUCUUCGUUUGGCAGGUUAGCGUCAAUUUAC